This 64-nucleotide transfer RNA is filed under the name Margattea concava. RNAcentral's name for it is "tRNA-Arg". The record is from RNAcentral. Lineage: Eukaryota; Metazoa; Arthropoda; Insecta; Blattodea; Pseudophyllodromiidae.
UGAUAUGAAGCAAUUCAGCUAUUAGUUUCGACCUAAUAAUUAGAUAUUAAUUUAUCCAUAUCAU